AUUGAACGCUGGCGGCAUGCCUUACACAUGCAAGUCGAACGGCAGCACGGACUUCGGUCUGGUGGCGAGUGGCGAACGGGUGAGUAAUACAUCGGAACGUGCCCAGUAGUGGGGGAUAGCCCGGCGAAAGCCGGAUUAAUACCGCAUACGACCUACGGGUGAAAGCGGGGGAUCGCAAGACCUCGCGCUAUCGGAGCAGC
RNAcentral lists this ribosomal RNA (200 nucleotides) under uncultured bacterium. Its description in RNAcentral is "partial 16S ribosomal RNA". It matches the Rfam family "Bacterial small subunit ribosomal RNA", at positions 30 to 230 of the family's 1533-position model. The record is from RNAcentral.